RNAcentral lists this ribosomal RNA (203 nucleotides) under uncultured bacterium. Its description in RNAcentral is "partial 16S ribosomal RNA". It matches the Rfam family "Bacterial small subunit ribosomal RNA", at positions 1298 to 1500 of the family's 1533-position model. The record is from RNAcentral.
UUGCAGGCUGCAACCCGCCUGUAUGAAGUUGGAAUCGCUAGUAAUCGCGGAUCAGCAUGCCGCGGUGAAUACGUUCCCGGGCCUUGUACACACCGCCCGUCACACCAUGAGAGUCGGGAACACCCGAAGUCCGUAGCCUAACCGCAAGGAGGGCGCGGCCGAGGGUGGGUUCGAUAAUUGGGGUGAAGUCGUAACAAGGUAAC